AGGUAAAACUAGUAAACAAAUGUAAUAAUAUAAACAAAUACGAAUUCCAUGAAUGUGUAUUGUGUAGUCUGUCUGUGUUAGAACCUAUAUGUAUAUCGCGCGCGCCGCACCCCGAUUCUAGCUCGGUCGGUAAAGUAGUUUGGUUACUACUAGUACUUACAAACAAAAUAUUUUUUUUCCAUUCGACCGCCGCGCCGCCGAACGGGCACAACGUGUUCCUAAAGUAAAGCGAGAUUAUAUAUUUGUAAUAGAAUUGCGUAUAUUAAUUAAAAAGAAAAAAUAAAGUGAAUCAAAUAAAGCAAAUAUUAUACAUUAACCAAAUUAGAAACAAUAAAUUACGUCCAAUACACUCAACAACAUCCAUAGUAAAUAAUAGAAACGUGCAGUCGUUUGAAAACCCCAAUAAACAAUCCAUGAGACCAUGCAAACAUUACCCGAAGGAAAAUAAUAAUAAUCAUGACAAAGGUUGUGUCGCCGCAUCCAGCCCGCUAGGAGGACUCCGCCACGUUGACGUGUCGAAACCAAUUAGACUACGAAACGGCGGCGGCAAAUCGUUCCAGCACUUGGAUGCGGCGAACCUGAAACUGCCCCGGAAAGCGGUGGUGCGGUGACGAGGCACCGCGAGUGAGUAGUACGACGCACGGGUCCUGGCAGCAGUCACGUCGCGGGACCAAACUAGUUUGUCCGCAAGAUAUGGCGGUAAUUUAAAAUUAACUAUUCCGAACAUCAGCGUUGCAAAAUGAAACUGUCUGCGAUAUUUCAUUUUUAGGAUUCUAGCCUUGUUUAUGUAAGGUGUUACGUGUGUGCGGGGAGGAAUUUUGAAGCAGAAUCUAGCGCAAGCAUUCUGUACUCUCUGAACCAGUUUUUGUGAGCGCGCCAGAAGCCGAGGCCCAUACACAGCGUCCAUAUAAUUAAACUUAGAGAGAAUUAAAGA
Molecule: long non-coding RNA, 934 nt
Organism: Pectinophora gossypiella (pink bollworm)
Lineage: Eukaryota; Metazoa; Arthropoda; Insecta; Lepidoptera; Gelechiidae
Exons: 3
Source: RefSeq, a predicted model, not a curated record